CCCAUCUCUUACCUUAGUCUUCCUCUCAAAGACUCUAAGCUUACUAAAUGAUAGGGACAUUAUGAUAAUAAUAAAUAAGAUGAUGGGGACUUUAUGAUAAUAAUAAAUAAGAGUUACAAUGGUUAUCAGAAAAUACAAAAUUCAAAGGGUCACUUGUUCAUAGAAUUAUGAAGUCAUCUGAUCAUUAAAUAUAGUCAAAUUAUAUAUCCUUGGAAAGCUCUA
Molecule: long non-coding RNA, 222 nt
Filed under: Elaeis guineensis (African oil palm)
Lineage: Eukaryota; Viridiplantae; Streptophyta; Magnoliopsida; Arecales; Arecaceae
Description: long non-coding RNA (EGUI_LNC038518)
Source: RNAcentral